RNAcentral lists this long non-coding RNA (9700 nucleotides) under Gossypium barbadense (sea-island cotton). RNAcentral describes it as "long non-coding RNA (GBAR_LNC000566)". The record is from RNAcentral. Lineage: Eukaryota; Viridiplantae; Streptophyta; Magnoliopsida; Malvales; Malvaceae.
AUUAUGCUCAGUUUUGAUUUAGUAUGUUCUCAUUAUUAUUGUUUAAUAAGUUUAGUUUUGAUAAUUCGAUGAUGGGAAUUUUGGUUGUGUAUGUGUUUUAAAGCUGUAAUAGGCCCAUUUUGCCCGGGCCCGUUAACAAAAAAAAAAUUAAAAUUAAAAUAAAAAGUCCCAACUUUAACAGUCCAUUUACAGCCCAAAUUUCAAAACUCAUUAACCCCAAAUUAUAGUAGCCUAGUACAAAACCCAACACCCAAUAAAAGCCCAAAAACUAAAAUCCCAAAACUAGCCCAAAUGACCCAAAAUUUCUAUUCCAAAAACUGAAACCCUAGCCAAACAGCACUACAGCUUCCACGAACGUCUCCUCGGGCCACAAGCAACCACCAGUGGCCUUCGCAACAGCCUCCAGCCAGCCGAUUUCAAAGCAGGCUCAUAGGGCCCAAAUGGUGAAGCUUCUGGAAGUCUUCGCAUUAUCGCCCACGAGCAGUUUCUCCAUGCACAGUUGUACCUGCAACGAACUAACAACCACAGCAGCAACCAGUAGAUAACAACAAUACAACAAAAAAAUAAAGAUUUUUUAUUUUAUUUAUUUUUUCCAGAAUAUUCUUGAUGUAUUUUGGCUAUAAAAAGCCGUUGUAAACACUGAAAUCGGGAUUACAAAAUAAAAAAAAAGAGAGGAAAAAGCAAUGAAAAACUAAGGUAAUUUGAUAUUGCAUUUUCCAGUGUUUCAAUUCAUUUUUCUUUUUUCAUUUCUCUACAAAAUCCCUUCGCAUAAAAGAGAAAAAAGGAAAAUGAGAGAUUUACCUUACGAGUGCUAAGAGGUUCCGUCUGUUCCGUUGAAAUCGGAGCAAAGAAGGGAUUUCAUGGCCGAAACCCGCAUCCCUCGAGGUUGGGAUAUGCUAAAUCACCGUUGACAAUGGUGGAUGAGUGUUUAAAACAGGGGAUUAGGUUUAGGUUAAGGAAGAACCAAAUGGAUGCAAGGGUUUAGGUCUGGCCGAAUGUAUAAGGCCUUAGGUUUUGUUUUAUUCUGAUUUGUUUUGUUAGUUUUAGGUUUUUGUACCUUGUUUUGUGCAAGACAUGAAACAGCGUCGUGUAUAGGGAGGGUAGAUCCGCGCGCAAGCCCGAUCCACAGGCUGGAUCCGCGCCUUGGCCUUUCGGAUGGUCAAAUUGCGCGACUAACCCUUCUUCUUCACGCAGACCUUCAAAUUGAUCCUUAUUUAUGCUUUAUUUCUUUUUAAUUCUGUCCUAGAAUUUACAUGUUUUUGCAAUGCAGCCCGCACCUGAACGUUAUUAUUUGGGAUCUGGAAUAUUUUCAAUUUUGAACCCUAGACAUUCGCGCAUAUUGUGCUUUAGUCAUUAUUUCUAUUUCAAUUGUUUUUUUAUUUUGUAAAUUAUCUCUUCUAUUUUAAUUCUGAUUUAAUUGAGUUUUCUAUUUGUAUAAUUUAUUGUUUUAAAAUUCAUUUAAUAUUUUUAUACAUGUGUUGAGUUUUUUAAUAGUUUUACUUUGUUUUUAUUUAUGUAAUUAUUUUGAAGUUUUUUUAUAUAUUAUAUUAUUUUAACAUUUUGCAUAAUAUUUAGUUUAAAUUUUUUUUAUUAUCUGUACAUAUAUUAUUUUGAUUAAGUUUUCUUUUACAUUGUAUAAUUCAUUAUUAUUAUAAAAGUUCACUUAACAUACAUUUUUAAUCCUUGAUUAUUUAUUUUUAUAUUUCUAGUUACUUUAAUAAUUUUACUUCGUUUUUUAAAGUUAUUAUUAAGUUUGUUUAUCUCAUAUUAUUUCGUAUAAUAUUUUGUAUAAAUGUUCUUAUAUUACGUAUAUAAUUUAUGAUAAAGUUAAUUCAAUCUUGUAAUUUAUAUUUUAAUUCCAUGAUAUUUUAUAUAAUUUCUACUUAUAUUUCCUUUUAAAUUUAUUAUAUACAUAAUUUAUUCUUUAAAAGAAAUAUAUAUCAUUAUUUCUUUGUUAGUAAAUAUUCUUUCAUGUACACAUAAUUUUAUUAUAUGUUGGUCUGUUCAUCUUUCAUGAAUCUGUUCAUUCCUUAUUUUUAUUGUAUCUUCAUUAUAUACUGUUUACAUCGAUUUUUUUGUAUAUUAUCAUCUUAAAAUAGAUAUGUAUUGUUUUUAAAUAUUUUUGUAUAUUAUUAGCUCCAAAUUACUUCUUUCACAAUAUUUAUUUUCAUAUUCAUUCACAUAUUCUUAGUUUUAUUUUACACAUGCGCAUCCUUUUAAAUCCAAUCAUGUGUUGAUUCAUUUUCUAAGUUUUCAUAUAUUUAAUAGUUUACAAAUUAUUUCCAAAUUGUUUUCUGUACUAUGUGUCACUUUAGUUUUCAUGUUAUUUCCUGUAUUUUUGUUUUAUAUUGAUUAUUAGCCUUUUGCACUAUUAUUUAGAUCCUGUUAGUUUGUUCUUUUGUUUACUUGUAUAAUAUUUUCGUAUAGUAAUCCAUGUUUGUAACUUUGAUUUUUUCUAUAUUGUUGCAUCGUGAUUCAAAUUUCAAUAUUUUGGUUGAUAUUAGUUGUUUCACUGUUAUUUUAAAACAAAUAAAAGCAUUUUGAGCCAAUUCUCAGUUUUCUUUAUCAUUCAAAAAUUCAGAAAUAAGACAAUAUUCAAUAUUUGGGAAAUUCGGAAAAUGGUACUCAAUCGUACUGGGUAUGAUUUUUCGGUGAACUAAAUAUUUGAAUAACCUUUUUUAGUGUACAAUUUUUCAAAUGUCAAAAAUCAAUUGUCUUUAAAGGUAUAAAGGAUCGUAUCCAAUUGUACUGGGUAUGAUACUGCAUAUCUUUGAAACGAGAGAUUUGUGACUACUAAUUUAAACUAUUUCAAACAUUUUAAAGAAUCAUGCUUUAAAAGAUCUUUCUUCUUAAAAUCUUCGAUAUAAGGAUAGCAUCGAAUCAAUCUGGUACCAAUUUUUGGGCAUAGUGGGGGUGCUAACCCUUCCUCAUACGUAACCGACUCCCGAACCCGUUUUUGAAUUUAUGUAGACCAAAAUUGAUUUAAAAUGUCUUAUUAGGUGAUCCAAUCACACUAAAUAAAAAGAUUGUUGGCGACUCCACAUUUUUUUUGUUUCCAAAAGUCGAUCCCCAUUGCUUUCAAAAUAAAAAGGGUUUCGACAGCUUGGCGACUCCACUAGGGAUUGAACAAAGAGAGUCAGUCCAUAAAAUUGAUUGUUUGUUAUCUUUUUAUCAAAGAAUUGAAAAUUAUGAUUCUUUUAAAUUGCAUUUGUUUUCAUGAUUGCUGUGGUUCGAGUUUUGUAGAAUAAUAUUGCAUUCAUUACAUGACUGUUGUGGUCACACCUUUAAGUGGGAGUAAGAAACUAUGCUUUCGUGAGGUUUACACCUCCGCAUGGGCUAGCGGAUUGCUUUCGGAAUACAUUCGUACCUAUGAUUUCGUGAGAUUUUCAUCUCCGCAUGGUCAUAGGGAAAUGUAUUCCCCUGAAUCGAACUCAAUUCAUAUGAGCAUAUAAUGGGUGAGAAUUGAGGAAUCUAUUGGUUCAGGUACCCUUUCUCUAGAACUGAACCACAUAUAGUGAACCUUGAGAAUCCACCUUACGUAGAACCUUGCCCAAAUUUAGUGGUCACCUGAAUAGGUACUUUAUUUGAUAUUUAUUUCACUUGUACUAACAUGUUUUGUUUAUAAUUGCAUUGCACUACAUUAUCAUAGAAAGGAGGUGUUGAUUCACGUUUAAUUGCUAAAUAGAAUAGCUUGUGAUAAGAAAACGAAUUUCCUGAUGAAGUGGAUUAUAAUACGGUUGUCUAAAUUGACAGAAGAAGGCUGACAGUUCGUGGAGAAAAACAAGUCCUUACCUAAAGAUUCAAGCUGAUAAAGAUUGUUCGAGAGCCGUCACAUCUCAAUUUUCUUAAUGGAGUUAAUCAACGUCAUGAGGAUAAUAAGUCGUAGCCUGGAUCAAGUAGAGAAGAGCUAAUGGAGGCAUUUAUUAGAGGCUUGCGAGAUUUGGAUUUCAUGAAGAAAAGGGAUCAUUGUCUUCGCCUGGAACAUGAAAACAAGGCCAUAUAUGUAAUCCAUUUUAUGUAAAGGGAUUUGUUUUCUAGAAAAGUUGUUCUAAUGGAAUUAAAUUGAAUAUCAACACUUCUCUUUCUUUUGUAUUCAUCCCAUGCAUUUGCAUUGCAUUGCAUCAUUUCAUCAUUUGCAUUAAAUUUUCAUAAAAGGGGUUCCUAAUUAGUUGAAAUCAUUUCAGUUAAACUAGGAACCAAUAAAAACUUACCAACCAAGCAUCGUUACGGUACUCCGGGAAACAAGGAAAAUGAAGUGAACAUCGUUGGUCAACAUAGGUCAGCCAAGGGUUAUAACCACUAAUCAUCAAAGAGAAUCUGAAUGACAUAUCCAAAGAGAAGUCUAGGGAAUAAAGGUUUCCAAACCCUUUUGUACUUGGAAGUGUUUUAAGCAAUGGGACUGUGAAAGAGAUCCUUGUAUUUUUAGAGCUAAUCUAGAGUAAUGUUCAAAACGUGCUUGUUACUUUUAAGCCUAGGGCAAUAAGAAUCCUCUUGUGAAAUAGGCUUGUGUCCAAAAUUUUUAUUUCAAUAAAAUGCAUUCUUUUUGAGUAAAUAUUCUUCCAUUCUUUUUAUAUUCUUUUGUUCUUUGGACUAUUGUCAAACAUGCUUUCAUUCUUCAUUCAUGAUCAUACCAUACAAAUAAUUAUCCUUAGGAUCAUUUAUUCUUUAGAAUUUGCCUUUGUACCUACUAUAGGUCCCCAGAUACCAAUGACAUGAGCAACACUGUAACUGACUCCCUUUUGGGGUGAGAUAGGUGUUUAAGUGGAUCUCAGGACUUUGAAGAUGACAGAGAUUGUAACUUAUUUCUUGAUUUGUUAAGGACGAUAGAACAAGAUGAAAAAACAGAUCCUACUUUACGAAGGGUCAAUGGACAUUGUGAACAAGGGACAAAGAUUGAAAUCCGAGUCACCACAGAGACAAAAUGAAUUGUCUUUGAGUUACUUCAAGAAAUUCAAAGAUGUUUUCACAUGAUCAUGUCGAGAUAUAUUUGAGAUAUUAAGAUCUGUGGAUGAUACAAAAUGUCUAUACAAUGCCAGAAAGACACAUGUUAAAGGUUUCAUGGUAGCCACGCUAAUCAUGAGGUUUGGGUAUUGUUGAUCCACCAUGGAAAGGGAUUGCAUUGGUUAAAGCCACAUUCAUUUCUUCACAGAUUUUCUCUAUAUGGGACAAGGAUGCUAUCAGGCCAUUCUCAUCGAUUCAUCUUAGCAGUCAUUGAUUACUUCACGAAGAGGGUGAAGGUCGCUUCAUAUGUCAAUAUUACAAGACUAAUAGUCAUCAGAUUCAAAAAAAAAAGGAAAAAGGUUGCUGAUAAGUAAUGUUAGAAAGGAUCACUUUCAAAUACAACUGCACAAUGUCAAAAGUUUGCAGUCUGUUCAAAGAUCAGACACUAUAUCACAGUGCAGUAAAGACAUCCAAAAAGAAAAACAAAAGUUCAAAAAUAGAAAAAAGGAAAAGCAAACAAUAGAACAAAGGUCACAGUGAAAAAUGACUGAGUCUUGUAAGGAUUGGCAUAAAGAAGUUAUCAUUUACCCUCUAUGUUUAUCGAACAUGAGCCGAAACCUUCACUGGGGCAACACAGUGAUUUAUAGGACUGAAAUAGUUUUUGAAGACGAGGUUCUUUUUCUUCGAGUCUUGGCACAACUAAAGUUGGAUGAAUCAGAAUGGGUUCAAUCUUGAUAUGAUCAGUCAAACUUAAAAGAUAUCCGUCACAGUCAGAUGAUGCGGGCUUACGACAGAGAAGUUUAUCCUCGAGAAUUCCAUGAGGAGAGCUUGAUAUUUAAGAAGAUCUUUCCUAUACAAAAGGACUUCAAAGGAAGAAAUAUGCCAAACUAAGAAAGACCUUAUGUAAAGAAGCCUUGUUUUGGAGGAGCAUUGAUAUUGACCUAAAGGAUUUGCUCAGUUCGGGGAAUUCAAAAUGCAGUCAAAGAGUGUUCUAUGGGAGAGGCCAAGGUGAAAACCCGAAAAGGGUGCCUUGAGACCUUAAAAUUAAAUCAAAAUAAAAAAAUAGAAAUAAAAAGAAAAAAUCAAAAAAAUGAAAGAAAGAAUCAAUCAAAGAAGUUAAAAAAAAGAAAGAAAAAGGAGAGGCCAAGGCGAAAACCCGCAAAGGGCGCUUUGAGACCAAAGGGGAUUUGAGUUGAAAACUCGAAAAGGGCGGCUCAAAUUUGGAUUAAAGUGGGGUAUACAAUAGUCUUGCUAUGCCUAAAUUAACAAUGAAAGAAGAAUGUUAUGUCUUGGGGCAUUGCAAAGUACUUCGGAUCUCAUAAACGCGUAUUGAGCUCAGAAUGGUCCUCAAGAAGUUGGUUCAGAGAAGCUCAAACUGUGAUAUCUGGGGCACCUAGCUUUCCAUUUUUACCCAUUUUUUGUUUGUUAUCUUUGAUUACCUUGUUCUUUUUAGGUCACGUCCUAAUAGAUUUCUUUCUUGGUUGCAUUUGCUUGUUUGUUUCGAGCUAUGUUCUCAAUUAAUUCCUUUCUUAUCCAUGGUUAUGAUCUUUUUCAAGCAUUUUGCAUUGAAAUAAUGAUUUUUGGACUAAUAAUUCUUUCAUUACUUUGGGGAGUUUCUAAAUAAUACAAGAGCCUGAAAUAGGACUAUUGUUUAAAACUCACCAAGUUUAAGGGUUGGAAAUAUUUAAGCCCAAAUUGAGGUUAUCUCCUUAGAUUUUCUGUCAAAGAUAUUAAUUGGUGUUAUAAUCUCGGCAAAGAAUGAGCAAUGGGAUUGUUCGUGAAGAAAGAAAAUGGUAUUCAUGCAGAUAUCAGACAUAUAUGUCUGUUCAUUAUACCCAGGGAAUGUAACAGAUUCAAUUGUUUAAAGAUAAUGCAAAUUCUAUACCUCUGAGUUGUAACAGGAUGGAUAGAAGAAAUCAAAUCAUUAUUCCCCUGGAGUUGCAGUGGGAAGUUCAAACUUCAUGUCCUAGAAGACUACAGUGUAAGGGACUCUCGAAUUACGGCGGGGCAAGCUUGCUGAGUAGAAUGUGAUUGUUUCUUUGGGUUUUCUGUCAAGAAUACUAGCCGAACAGGAUGGCAGCAUAAUAAAUCAGUGAUAGAGCCUUGGUGAAUAAUGAAUGAUGAUACCUUGAGCAUUUAAAAAAGAUCAUUUUUAAAAAAAAAAAGAUCAUUCAAAAAAGAUCAUUUUCAUUUUUGCAUUCAUAUAUCAUUCAUAACAUGUUAGGAGCAUUUGAUUCAUUUUGAUCAUAGCAUCCUAAUUAUUUGAUAUCAGCAUUACAUCUAGUUAGAAGCAUUUGAUUCAUAGCAUCCUAAUUAUUUGACAUAAGCAUCACAUUUAGUUAGGAGCACUUGAUUCAUUUCGAUCAUAGCAUCCUAAUUAUUUGACAUCAGCAUCAUCUAGUUAGGAGCAUUUGAUUCAUUUUGAUCAUAGCAUCCUAAUUAGUUGGCAUAAGCAUGAUACAUGAAAUCGAGUCUACAGGACAGGUCCAAGAGGAUGAUGUAGUAACAUCAGUGAAGUCAGAUCUUAUAUCCCUGAAGUUGCAGCAGAAUAGAUCAAAGAUUACAAACCUUAUCUCCCUGAAGUGGCAGUGGAGUAGGUUGAAGAUUGCAGGUCUUAUUUCCCUAAGCAGUAGUGGAACAGACCAAAGACAACAAACCUUAUCUCCCUGAGGUUGCAGUGGAGCAGGUUGAAGUGUCAGUUGCAGUAAAGCAAAUCAUAACAAGUCUUAUCUCCCUGAGGUUACAGUGGAGUAGACUGAAGAUUGAAAGAUCUUAUCUCCCUAAGCAGUAGCGGAGCAGAUCGAAGAUGGCAAAUCUUAUCUCCAUGUAUCAGCAAUGGAGCAGAUUUUAACCACUGACCUUAUCUCUCUGAGUUAGCAAGAGAGCAGGUUGAAGAUGAUAGUCUUAUCUUCCUGAGGUGGCAAGGAAGCAGACUGAAGAUUGAAGAUCUUAUCUCCCUAAGCAGUAGUGGAGCGGAUCGAGGAUGGCGAAUCUUAUCUCCAUGUAUCGGCAAUGGAGCAGAUUUUAGCUAUUGACCUUAUCUCUCUAAGGUAGUAAGAGAGCAGGUUGGCAAUUGUAGUCUUAUCUUCUUGAGGUAGCAAGGAAGCAGACUAAAUGUGGAAGAUCUUAUUUCUCUCAACUGAAGCAGACAAAAUGUGGAAGAUCUUAUCUCCAUGUAUCGACAAUGGAGUAGAUCUAAGCCCCAAGAUUUAUUUUCCUGAAGUUGCAGCAGAACAAAUCGCAGAUGGUGAACCUUAUCUCCAUGUAUCGGCAAUGAGGCAGAGUUUAGCCACCAGCCUUAUUUCUCUGAGGUAGCAAGAGAGUAGGUUGAAGAAUGAGUCUUAUCUUCCUGAGAUAGCAAGGAAGCAGACUGAGAAUUGAAGAUUUUAUCUCCCUGAGAUUACAGUGGAGAGAUCUUCAUAGAUGGUGAAUCUUAUCUCCAUGUAUUGGCAAUGGAACAAAUUUUAGCCACUGACUUUAUCUCUCUGAGGUAGCAAAAGAGCAGCGAUUGUAGUCUUAUCUUCCUGAGGUAGCAAGGAAGCAGACUAAAGAUUGAAGAUUGGAGGAUGCAAAUCUUAUCUCUAUGAACUGGCAAUGGAGCAGAUUUAAGCCUCAAGACCUUAUCUCUCUGAGGUAGCAAGAGAGCAAGUUGAAAAUUGUAGUCUUAUCUUCCUGAGGUAGCAAGGAAGCAGACUGAAGAUUGAAGAUCUAUUUCCCUAAAGUAGUUGCGGAGCAGAUUGAAGAUGGCGAAUCUUAUCUCCAUGUAUUGGCAAUGGAGCAGAUUUAAGUCACCAGUCUUAUUUCCCUAAAGUUAUAGUCAAAAUGUAGCAAAACUGGGCAAAAUUGGCCUUAUUUGAAGUCUUUUCUCGUUACACGACAAAAAAAAUUAACCCCAAAUUUAAGUCACCAUUUUGCCCGGGCCCGUUAACAAAAAAAAAUUAAUACAAAAAUAAAAAAUCCCAACUUUAACAGUCCAUUUACAGCCCAAAUUUCAAAACCCAUUAACCCCAAAUUAUAGUAGCCUAGUACAAAACCCAACACCCAAUAAAAGCCCAAAAACUAAAAUCCCAAAACUAGCCCAAAUGACCCAAAAUUUCUAUUCCAAAAACUGAAAUCCUAGCCAAACAGCACUGCAGCUUCCACGAACGUCUCCUCGCGCCGCAAGCAACCACCAGUGGCCUUUGCAACAGCCUCCAGCCAGCAAAUUUCAAAGUAGGCUCAUAGGGCCUAAAUGGUGAAGCUUCUAGAAGUCUUCGCGUUAUCGCCCACGAGCAGUUUCUCCAUGUACAGUGGUACCUGCAACGAACUAACAACCACAGCAGCAAGCAGUAGAUAACAACAAUACAACAAAAAAAUAAAUAUUUUUUAUUUUAUUUUUCCAGAAUAUUCUUGAUGUAUUUUGGCUAUAAAAAGUCGUUGUAAACAUUGAAAUUGGGAUUACGAAAUAAAAAAAAAUGAGGAAAAAGCAAUGAAAAACUAAGGUAAUUUGAUAUUGCAUUUUCCAGUGUUUCAAUUCAUUUUUCUUUCUUCAUUUCUCUACAAAAUCCCUUUGCAUAAAAGAGAAAAAAGGAAAAUGAGAGAUUUACAUUACGAGUGCUAAGAGGUUCCGUCUGCUCCGUUGAAAUCGGAGCAAAGAAGGGAUUUCAUGGCCGAAACCCGCAUCCCUCGAGGUUGGGAUAUGCUAAAUCGCCGUUAACAAUGGUGGAUGAGUGUUUAAAACAGGGGAUUAGGUUUAGGUUAAGGAAGAACCAAAUGGAUG